AAUUGUAUUUGGAGAAGACCCCGUUGCACUGUGGGAUAUUACAUGCUCAGAGAGUGGAAGAAAGUAAUAAAAUGGCGUUGUAGUGUGCUUGUUACUUAUACAAACGUGUGGUGUGCCUACGUGUUCUCGGAUGUACCGCAAAGCCAGUGU
This is a long non-coding RNA of Polypterus senegalus (gray bichir), 150 nucleotides long. RefSeq lists it as uncharacterized. The transcript is spliced from 2 exons. NCBI's taxonomy places the organism in Eukaryota, Metazoa, Chordata, Cladistia, Polypteriformes, Polypteridae. The record is from RefSeq and is a predicted model, not a curated record.